AGCGAACGCUGGCGGCAGGCCUAACACAUGCAAGUCGAACGAACCUUUCGGGGUUAGUGGCGGACGGGUGAGGAACACGUGGGAACGUGCCUUUAGGUUCGGGAUAACUCAGGGAAACUUGUGCUAAUACCGAAUGUGCCCUGCGGGGGAAAGAUUUAUCGCCUUUAGAGCGGCCCGCGUCUGAUUAGCUAGUUGGUUGAGGUAAUGGCUCACCAAGGCGACGAACAGUAGCUGGUCUGAGAGGAUGAUCAGCCACAUUGGGACUGAGACACGGCCCAAACUCCUACGGGAGGCAGCAGUGGGGAAUCUUGCGCAAUGGGCGAAAGGCUGACGCAGCCAUGCCGCGUGAAUGAUGAAGGUCUUAGGAUUGUAAAAUUCUUUCACCGGGGACGAUAAUGACGGUACCCGGAGAAGAAGCCCCGGCUAACUUCGUG
Molecule: ribosomal RNA, 434 nt
Filed under: uncultured bacterium
Lineage: Bacteria
Description: partial 16S ribosomal RNA
Rfam family: Bacterial small subunit ribosomal RNA
Source: RNAcentral